GCUAUUUGUGCUUGUACUAUCUCUUCAUAUCUUCUAUUAUCUUUUCGUCAUUUCAAAUCUAGAUAAAUGUUCAUCAUUCUUCCACGUAUAUUGCUUCAGUCUCCUCCAUGUCUCUGUUUUGCAACUCUCAGCUUUCUUCAUUACCCAUCUCUCUACUUCUCCGAUUCUAAGGUUAGUUUGGAAUUGUGAAAAUUUUUCCUGUUUCAACCAUUUCUCUGAGUUCGUAAGUUCAUAUCAUCCUGUAUAUGUUUAUUUUGCUUGAUGGUAUCAAUUUGCUGGACACAAAAUUUAGUACUUAGCUACCUAGAACCAAUAAUCAAUUCUAGUCUCCCUUUCUCUCCUAUAUCUGUGUAAUGAUGAACUUUAUAUUUGUAGUUAUUUUCUUGUACUAUGUCCAAUUCUUUGCUUGCCAUGUAAAGUAUACUACAACUCCAUUUAUAACAGCAACAACCUUCUUCCAGGGGAAGAGAGGCGGAUCUACAGUAUCUGGUGGGGGUUCUCAAGAACCCACACCCGCUACAGGAGAACCUGUAAUUAUAGCAAAAACUAUAACAAAUAAGUUUUCCGUGAUCGGAACCCACAACCAAAUAGCUGGUUAGCUCAAUGGCGAGGAAGGCACCCUGAAAUUUAACUGUCCAGUAAUACGCGGGAUCGAACUGCAUAAGGGUUUCCACAAGGUUGAAAUCCUAGAUCCAUCUCUGCCUACUAUAUACAGUAAAAGGACUGGUAAUUGAUUCGUGAAUAGCUUUCUUUCUCUUUCCCAGGGUUUAGUUGUGCUUUUUCAUGUGUAAUAAUCAAUUCAGAUAAUUAGAUUCUUCUUUUGAGGAUAUAUAAUUAACAUGCCAAUUACUUGAAAAUCUAGCUAAUUGGAUGCUUAAAAAUAACAUGGUCAAUGUAGUGUGUCAAUUAGUUAGUUGUAGAUCCUACUAUUUGACACAUCUCUAGAUUGGUAGAAGUAAAAUCUUCUGUCUCUAGUCUAAUUACAAGGUUACUUUGCUUAUGUUUAAGGGAUGACACAACCACAAACAAUGCUUCGAUGGAACAGAAUGUACUUGACAAUUUGCUGGAAACUAUGAUUGAUAGAGAUGAUGCUGUAUCAUCAAGACAUGCAUUUCUGGAGGCACAUAAUGGAAAUAGAAGUUUGUCAAAGGUUGUUGACAAAGUGAAAGCCGUGAGUUCAACUUCUGUUUGACCAAAUGUCUAUAAUUUUUCAAUUUGUUUAACAUUCAGCUGAGCGCGUUUUGAUUUGAUAGAUUGAGGCCAUCAACACAAAAGGAGUGAAUUGGGCUUCAUAUUUACUUGAACAUUCCAUGUACCUUCAUGUUCAAUUCCCAAAUAAACAAUAGUAAGAUUUGCACCUGUGUUAAAAAGUGACUACACCAAUAAUUAAAAAGUAUUCAUUUUGAUAGUCCAACAUUUGUUAAAACCUAUUGCAACUCCAAUUUUCUCAUUCAUGAAUUAUUUUUAUCCAUAUUGAUUCCCCUUUGAAAGUUUAGUUUGUUUCAGUAAAUUUAUUGUUUGAAUAGUCAGUCAAUCAUGAAAUUAUACAGUAAAGUUUUCUCCUUUUUAUGUGUGUAUAUAUAUUUUUAUUAUAGAAAUGAAUUAAAAUGAAACAAAAGAUUAGUAGAACCUGCAUGUGAUAUCCAAGAAUCACUAGCUACUUCACCUUUUCACUUAUAAUGCCUUCAACAAAUACAUCUGCCACCAUUUUGGCCAUGAUGUCAGAGCUUUCUGGACUGCUCUUACGUAUUCUAUAUGGUUAUAAUCAUAUUUUUUUUACUUGUCAUCUUAAUUGUCUUAUUCAUAACCUGUUUGGUCAAAUUGGAGUUGUCGAUGUAUUCAGCCUCCAUAUUAAGUACCAUUUAACCAAAGAUGUAUAUCCAUGGAUGUCUUUUUUUUAUGCCAAUACUCAUUGCUGCUAUCUGGACAUUGUUUUAUGCAGGUAAUAGUUGAAACAUCAUUAAGUAAAGCGGAAAUGAAAUCUGCAAUUCAAUCUUGUACACCAAACUUUACGCGGAGGCAACAAAUGGCUGGUAAGACAUUGAAAUCGAACUAGCAGAAGGUGAAAUUACUAGCUACAGCAGCAGAAGUGGAGAAAAGAAAUAACUCAAAGCAUGUCCUAUUCUAAACGAAAAUGGUAUCGUUGAAUUAGGAGCUUAUUUGCUAUCUAGCAAGUGUUUUAUGUUUAUUCAGCUAGCUAUAUUUAGCUUCAACGCAAAAUGCACGGGCCUCGACUAUCUAGUAUAAUACAUAACUGUGUUAUAAAAUUAAAUUUAAAUAAAGAUUACUGAACUUAUUAUUUUAAUUAUCAUUUUCACACAUUUGCAUUUUAAUUUUUUUUUCCUGUUG
This 2349-nucleotide long non-coding RNA is filed under the name Capsicum annuum. RNAcentral's name for it is "long non-coding RNA (CANN_LNC003038)". The record is from RNAcentral. Lineage: Eukaryota; Viridiplantae; Streptophyta; Magnoliopsida; Solanales; Solanaceae.